This 253-nucleotide ribosomal RNA is filed under the name uncultured bacterium. Its description in RNAcentral is "partial 16S ribosomal RNA". It matches the Rfam family "Bacterial small subunit ribosomal RNA", at positions 524 to 776 of the family's 1533-position model. The record is from RNAcentral.
UACGAAGGGGGCUAGCGUUGCUCGGAUUUACUGGGCGUAAAGGGCGCGUAGGCGGACAGUUUAGUCAGAGGUGAAAGCCCAGGGCUCAACCUUGGAAUUGCCUUUGAUACUGGCUGUCUUGAGUACGGGAGAGGUGAGUGGAACUCCGAGUGUAGAGGUGAAAUUCGUAGAUAUUCGGAAGAACACCAGUGGCGAAGGCGGCUCACUGGACCGGCAUUGACGCUGAGGUGCGAAAGCGUGGGGAGCAAACAGG